AGUUCUCAAGUUAAUUAAAAAAACAAAUAAUGAGAAAUAAUAUACCAUAUGCACAUGUGUUUAUUUAUCUAUUCAUGUCUAUUUCCCUAAAAAAUUCAUUUUCAUUCAAGAACCCAAACAAUAUCCUUAAACUAAAUCUGGUCAGCUUUAGCAGAAUGACAUCUGGUAUACUGGCGGUAUAGAUUUGAUAUGCAUAUAGUAGGUGCUUAGUAAGUGCUUGUUGAGUAAAGGAACGAUGAUGUCCUAUCCAGUGUCUGUGUAAUGAGUUUCUGUGAAAUCCUCUGUAGUUUCCAGAGCAUUGCAUAUUUUCUAGAGUUUUCAUUGCAUACUUUAAAUGUUUAGAGUCAUAUGGUUUUGGCUACUUCUAGUUUUAAUGCAUCUAGUAAAGGCUGCAGAACUUGUUCAUUUUAGUUGAAUAUGUUAAAAUGCAGUGCGGGUGAGGGGGCCUAAGUUCAAUAUUUCAAAUUGUUUUGGCAAGACAAGCUCCUUUGCAUGCCAACCACCAGGCCACAAAGCUUCAUUGUUGUCCAGCUGAAUGAAUGCAUGGCUUUCAUUUGAAGGGAGGAAAAUACUUUCUAGAAAUUGAAGUUCCAGGAAAACAAUUGAUUGCAGCAAAUGUCAGAUGAAUUUGCCCACCAAAUAACACUGGCAGCUGUAUUAUGCCCACGAAUCCAAUAGCAAGCCACCUUCUUGCUGUUUUCAUAAUCCAUCUUUCUUAGUGAAUGGUUGAAAAUUCAAUACCUGGCUCUCCAGAACCCUGUCUGUUCAGCCUUUGGGACCUAGCUUAACAGAGCAUCUCAAACAUACUAAUAGUUCAUUUUCAUAUUAGCCAUUUAGAUCAGAAACCUGCCAAAUUGUAUCACUUCAAUAACAAAUUAUUGGUACUUUGAGCCAAGAAUGGUCUGGUAGUAAGGAUUCCUUAAAUGAUAGUUCAGUUGAAUUUCUGAUCAUUUAAAAAUAUAUCUGAUAGGCUAUGCUUCUGUCUACCUUGACAGCAAUGACAGGAGAAUGCUUUGUACAAAAUCCAAAAAACUGUUACGUAAAUAUUGUUAUAUAUAUAUUAUAUUGUCACUUUAUGUAAUAUGCUUAAAUUCUUGUUAAAAAUUUUAUUCUUCCUAUCCCUUUGUCUCUGACUUAUUCAUUGAAUGACUAAAAUGUGAAAAAAAUAGAAGUAUUCUAAAAA
RNAcentral lists this long non-coding RNA (1183 nucleotides) under Marmota monax (woodchuck). Lineage: Eukaryota; Metazoa; Chordata; Mammalia; Rodentia; Sciuridae. The record is from RNAcentral.